RNAcentral lists this ribosomal RNA (206 nucleotides) under uncultured bacterium. Its description in RNAcentral is "partial 16S ribosomal RNA". It matches the Rfam family "Bacterial small subunit ribosomal RNA", at positions 568 to 774 of the family's 1533-position model. The record is from RNAcentral.
CUCGUAGGCGGUUUGUCGCGUCGGGAGUGAAAUCCACUGGCUUAACUGGUGGCUUGCUUUCGAUACGGGCAGACUGGAGGUAUGCAGGGGAGAACGGAAUUCCUGGUGUAGCGGUGAAAUGCGCAGAUAUCAGGAAGAACACCUAUGGCGAAGGCAGCUCUCUGGGACGGUACUGACGCUGAGACGCGAAAGCGUGGGAGCGAACA